CCGCGCAGCCGGGGAAGCAGCGGCGUCCUGUACCUGAAAUCCGCUAUAGCAGGGGUGAUGCUGAACAGAGAUCCGCUUCAUUUCAUUGCUGCCUCUGAUAAGUGAUGUUGACGUUUGGGUCUUACGCAACGGAAACCUGUGAACCGUGUCAGGACAGGAAUGUAGCAGCACUAAGCAGGACCUUUCGUGUGCCGUAAGGUCGCCUGGGCUGAGUUAACUGUCAGAGUAACGUUUGGGGUGACGGACCGACGGGAUGCGCGCGG
RNAcentral lists this signal recognition particle RNA (263 nucleotides) under Eubacteriales bacterium. RNAcentral's name for it is "signal recognition particle sRNA large type". It matches the Rfam family "Bacterial large signal recognition particle RNA". Rfam says of the family: The signal recognition particle (SRP) is a universally conserved ribonucleoprotein involved in the co-translational targeting of proteins to membranes. Lineage: Bacteria; Bacillati; Bacillota; Clostridia; Eubacteriales. The record is from RNAcentral.